UUUGAUCCUGGCUCAGGACGAACGCUGGCGGCGUGCCUAAUACAUGCAAGUCGAGCGGACAGAUGGGAGCUUGCUCCCUGAUGUUAGCGGCGGACGGGUGAGUAACACGUGGGUAACCUGCCUGUAAGACUGGGAUAACUCCGGGAAACCGGGGCUAAUACCGGAUGCUUGUUUGAACCGCAUGGUUCAAACAUAAAAGGUGGCUUCGGCUACCACUUACAGAUGGACCCGCGGCGCAUUAGCUAGUUGGUGAGGUAACGGCUCACCAAGGCAACGAUGCGUAGCCGACCUGAGAGGGUGAUCGGCCACACUGGGACUGAGACACGGCCCAGACUCCUACGGGAGGCAGCAGUAGGGAAUCUUCCGCAAUGGACGAAAGUCUGACGGAGCAACGCCGCGUGAGUGAUGAAGGUUUUCGGAUCGUAAAGCUCUGUUGUUAGGGAAGAACAAGUACCGUUCGAAUAGGGCGGUACCUUGACGGUACCUAACCAGAAAGCCACGGCUAACUACGUGCCAGCAGCCGCGGUAAUACGUAGGUGGCAAGCGUUGUCCGGAAUUAUUGGGCGUAAAGGGCUCGCAGGCGGUUCCUUAAGUCUGAUGUGAAAGCCCCCGGCUCAACCGGGGAGGGUCAUUGGAAACUGGGGAACUUGAGUGCAGAAGAGGAGAGUGGAAUUCCACGUGUAGCGGUGAAAUGCGUAGAGAAUGUGGAGGAACACCAGUGGCGAAGGCGACUNNNNNGUCUGUAACNGACGNNA
RNAcentral lists this ribosomal RNA (755 nucleotides) under Bacillus mojavensis. Its description in RNAcentral is "bacterial SSU rRNA". It matches the Rfam family "Bacterial small subunit ribosomal RNA", at positions 12 to 748 of the family's 1533-position model. Lineage: Bacteria; Bacillati; Bacillota; Bacilli; Caryophanales; Bacillaceae. The record is from RNAcentral.